UACGUAGGGUGCAAGCGUUGUCCGGAAUUAUUGGGCGUAAAGAGCUCGUAGGCGGUUUGUCGCGUCUGCUGUGAAAACUCGGGGCUUAACUCCGGGCCUGCAGUGGGUACGGGCAGACUAGAGUGCGGUAGGGGAGACUGGAAUUCCUGGUGUAGCGGUGAAAUGCGCAGAUAUCAGGAGGAACACCAGUGGCGAAGGCGGCACUCUGGGCCGGAACUGACGCUGAGGAGCGAAAGCGUGGGGAGCGAACAGG
RNAcentral lists this ribosomal RNA (253 nucleotides) under uncultured bacterium. RNAcentral's name for it is "partial 16S ribosomal RNA". It matches the Rfam family "Bacterial small subunit ribosomal RNA", at positions 524 to 776 of the family's 1533-position model. The record is from RNAcentral.